CACUAUGCCUGGCUGUAAACAUUGAUAAGAUAUUACACGCAUUAUCCGCCUGGGAACUACGAGCACUAGCUUAAAACCCCAAGGACUUGGCGGUGCUUCAGACCCCCCUAGAGGAGCCUGUUUCUAGAACCGAUAAUCCCCGUUCAACCUCACCCUUCCCUGUAAAUCCUGCCUAUAUACCGCCGUCGCCAGCCUACCCUGUGAAGGAUCUAAAGUGGGCUAAACUGGUACUACCCUAAAUGUCAGGUCGAGGUGUAGCAUAUGGAAGGGGAAGCAAUGGGCUACAUUCGCUGACCCAGCGAAUCACGAAAGACAUGCUGAAAAGCAUGUCUGAAGGUGGAUUUAGCAGUAAGGGGGGAGUAGAGCGCCCCCCUGAAGUUGGCUCUGAAGCGUGCACACAUCGCCCGUCACUCUCCCCGAAUUAGUCUACACCCGUAACUAACCACACGGACGCCGCCGAGGGGAGGCAAGUCGUAA
Molecule: ribosomal RNA, 477 nt
Filed under: Parupeneus crassilabris
Lineage: Eukaryota; Metazoa; Chordata; Actinopteri; Syngnathiformes; Mullidae
Description: partial small subunit ribosomal RNA
Rfam family: Bacterial small subunit ribosomal RNA
Source: RNAcentral